CUGACGCAGCACGCCGCGUGGGUGAUGAAGGUCUUCGGAUUGUAAAACCCUGUCUUCUGGGACGAUAAUGACGGUACCAGAGGAGGAAGCCACGGCUAACUACGUGCCAGCAGCCGCGGUAAUAC
RNAcentral lists this ribosomal RNA (125 nucleotides) under uncultured Clostridium sp. Its description in RNAcentral is "partial 16S ribosomal RNA". It matches the Rfam family "Bacterial small subunit ribosomal RNA", at positions 383 to 526 of the family's 1533-position model. The record is from RNAcentral. Lineage: Bacteria; Bacillati; Bacillota; Clostridia; Eubacteriales; Clostridiaceae.